GUGAGUAUAGCUCAGUGGUAGAGCACAUGCUUAGCAUGCACGAGGUCCUGGGUUCAAUCCCCAGCACCUCCA
Molecule: transfer RNA, 72 nt
Filed under: Camelus bactrianus (Bactrian camel)
Lineage: Eukaryota; Metazoa; Chordata; Mammalia; Artiodactyla; Camelidae
Also listed under: 1 other name
Rfam family: tRNA
About the family: Transfer RNA (tRNA) molecules are approximately 80 nucleotides in length. Their secondary structure includes four short double-helical elements and three loops (D, anti-codon, and T loops).
Source: Rfam by way of RNAcentral